RNAcentral lists this ribosomal RNA (492 nucleotides) under uncultured bacterium. RNAcentral describes it as "partial 16S ribosomal RNA". It matches the Rfam family "Bacterial small subunit ribosomal RNA", at positions 29 to 507 of the family's 1533-position model. The record is from RNAcentral.
AGUGAACGCUGGCGGUAGGCCUAACACAUGCAAGUCGAACGGCAGCACAGUAAGAGCUUGCUCUUACGGGUGGCGAGUGGCGGACGGGUGAGGAAUACAUCGGAAUCUACUUUUUCGUGGGGGAUAACGUAGGGAAACUUACGCUAAUACCGCAUACGACCUACGGGGGAAAGCAGGGGAUCUUCGGACCUUGCGGGAUUGAAUGAGCCGAUGUCGGAUUAGCUAGUUGGCGGGGUAAAGGCCCACCAAGGCGACGAUCCGUAGCUGGUCUGAGAGGAUGAUCAGCCACACUGGAACUGAGACACGGGCCAGACUCCUACGGGAGGCAGCAGUGGGGAAUAUUGGACAAUGGGCGCAAGCCUGAUCCAGCCAGACCGCGUGGGUGAAGAAGGCCUUCGGGUUGUAAAGCCCUUUUGUUGGGAAAGAAAAGCAGCAGGUUAAUACCCCGCUGUUCUGACGGUACCCAAAGAAUAAGCACCGGCUAACUUCGUG